CGGAGGGAGCUAGCGUUAUUCGGAAUUACUGGGCGUAAAGCGCACGUAGGCGGCUUUAUAAGUCAGAUGUGAAAUUCCCGGGCUUAACUUGGGAACUGCAUUUGAAACUGGGUAUCUAGAGUGUGGGAGAGGAAAGUGGAAUUCCUAGUGUAGCGGUGAAAUGCGUAGAGAUUAGGAAGAACACCAGUGGCGAAGGCGACUUUCUGGACCAUAACUGACGCUGAGGCAUGAAAGCGUGGGGAGCAAACAGGAUUAGAUACCCUGGUAGUCCACGCCGUGAACGAUGAAUACUAGGUGUGGGGGUUAUCAUGACCUCCGUGCCGCAGUUAACACAAUAAGUAUUCCGCCUGGGGAGUACGGUCGCAAGAUUA
This 371-nucleotide ribosomal RNA is filed under the name uncultured organism. Its description in RNAcentral is "bacterial SSU rRNA". It matches the Rfam family "Bacterial small subunit ribosomal RNA", at positions 526 to 896 of the family's 1533-position model. The record is from RNAcentral.